Pogoniulus pusillus (Red-fronted tinkerbird) is the source of this 3571-nucleotide long non-coding RNA. RefSeq lists it as uncharacterized. Lineage: Eukaryota; Metazoa; Chordata; Aves; Piciformes; Lybiidae. The record is from RefSeq and is a predicted model, not a curated record. The transcript is spliced from 2 exons.
AUGUCUGCAUGCAGAUGUGCAACCAGUCAGCACAUAAACCUUGAGCAAGGUUUGCUAGAGAAACCAAGCUACAGAACUACUCUUGUCAUUAAUGGCAUUAAUUAAGAAGGACACAGAGCUGCUGGAGUAAGUCCAGAGGAGGCCACAAAGAUGAUCCAGGGGCUGGAGCACCUCUGCUGUGAGGACAGGCUGAGGGAGCUGGGGGUGUGCAGCCUGGAGAAAGUAAGAUUUCAAGGGGACCUUAGAGCUGCCUUCCAGUGCCUGAAAGGAUCUUGCAAGAAGGCUGCAGAGGGACUUUUCCUAUGGGUGUCUGGAGACAGGGCAAGGGGGAAUAGUUUGAAGUUGAGGGAGAGCAGGGUUAGACCUGAACUGAGGAAAAUGUUCUUCGUUGUGAGGGUGGUGGGACUCUGGAAUAGGUUGUCUGGGAAGGCUGUGGACUUUUGAGCAGGGCUUAUUUUGCCAGGACGAGGGGUGAUAGUUUGAACCAAAAGAGGGAGAUUUAAUAAUGAGUGAUUCAAAUAGGCUGUGCCAUGUCUCCUGCCAGAAGGGGCCUUACCAGCAGAGUCUGCUGCCUGUUAUUCCGGUCUGAGUUGCAGGGAGCUCAGUUUGGUUUGUGAGGUCUGACGUUCCCACAGGCUAGCUCAGAGGAGUUAGAGAAGGAAUUACGGAGAAAUUAGAUCAGUUUCGUUUAAGCAGUACUUGAAGUGCCCCAUAGGCUUGCCCAUUUUGUCUUUACAAGCUUGCUUUCAUCCCUUAUCUCUGCUGCAAGCUCGUCCCCACACACAUCAUUAAAUGUUGAGUAAUUACAGCAGGGAGGCCUGCGGGAGGACAAGCACUGCUUCUCCUGGUGGCUGGAAGAGGACUUGGACAUUUCUUGAAUCAGUCCUUUUUAUUCAGAUUGCCUGUUCCAGUGGCUUUUGUUGUAUUCAACCAGGAUAUGGCAACUUCAGCGAGGGGAAAAUGGCAGGGUAGAACUGAUGUGACACCUGUAAGCUGGUCAGGAAAUACCCUGCGUUUGGAACGUUUCAUGUCAAACGUUAGAGCAGCAGUGGCAGCUUCCUGGUUUUCCAUGCAAAGAGAAGUAAUGGGGAGCUGCUGACUGAAGAAGGCUGCCAGCUCCUUUCAGUCACGUAUUUGGUACUACAAAGGUGGCAUUAUUAAAGGCAGACAAAAAAGCCUCUUAAUCAUGCAGCCAAACUGAGCUCUAGGAGCUGAAAAACGCUUCCCUUGUGCACUCCUAAACCUCGCUAAGAACUAACUGCUGUCCCUAUUUGCAGGCUUUUCUGCAGCAUUUUGGCUGAAAACAGAUAAGAGAUUCUAUCCCUCUGAGCACUUAAAUCUGGGACUCAGGAACUUUCCCCACUGCUGCUGCCAGACAUCCUGACCUUCCUUCAGAGCAGAUGGCAAAACAACAGCAAAACAGCACUGCAUUUGGUGCCUAAACCUGCAGAUUGUCACUGUAGAUAGUGGCUGGCAUAAAAAUCUGAUGGUUCUGCUUACAGCAAAAAUCUGGUGCUGCAGAACUUGCUUUUGUUGUAUCACCGGCACUACCCUUAGUAGCUGAAUACCUGUGGGCACGUAGCAGGUAAGUGCUGAAUACUUGUGCAAGGAACAGGACAGUUUGCACAGCUUGAAGGUGUCUUGGGAUCAAACCUCUGCCAUGUGAUGUUGGUGAAACUGUGCAGGCUAUCGUGGGAAACAAAGAAAGUGUUGGACACAGAAUGCUCCCAGCCCCUGCUGUGCUUGUGUGUGCAGCACACCUCUCCCCGCACGUGUGUACACUGCGUGCACACCUGCACACACCCUUAAGUGAAGUGAUUUGGUGUCACCUGGAGUAAAAGACUUCCCUCACAGGGCUGUUUCUCAAGCCUGCUUAUCGAAUUUGUCUGUCUCUUGCAAGCUGUAACUAGCUCUGUAAAGAAAUGCAUCCCUGUGCCAGUCUCCAGGAGCACAUCCAGUUUUGCUACAAAGAGCUGUGUUGUACUGCUGUACACUAAGUGCAAACUGAGGGCCAGAUGCUGCACCUUCAAGAGGCAGAGCAAAAGUGAUUUUUAAGACGUUGCUUUAAUCUCAGAGAUUUAAAUGCAACAGUUGGCUUAAUCUCUAGUAUACGUUUUCAGUAUUUUCCUUCAGUUUAGUAUUUUGGGUCAGUAUAAAAUCUGUGACUCUAACACUAACUCUCUUGCUUUCUUCCCUGUUCCUUCUGCUCUUGCUGGGAGCCGCUGUGGACAUCAAAGAAAUGAGUUAACAGGCACAUUGCAGCUUAGAAAUUCUAUACCUGGCCAAAAUGAAGGGAAGAGUCCUUCCUUCUCAUUCUGCUUGCGCUUCUGUGGUGCCCCUAAAGGAUGGAAGCAGAAGGUCUAAAACCAUUCUAAAAGCUGAAGCCUGCAUUUUAAAAUGAUCUGCAUAGAAACCAGCUCCUCUCCUCUCCUCUCUUGGGGUCUUGUGCAGUGAGUAGGUGAAAGGCUCCGUGUCUGUGGAGCUCACUCACAGGCCAGUGCAUGCAUACACAACUGAAUUCUCUUUUCUUGGUGAUUGAUUUUUCACAUGUCCUGCGAGAUUGCCAUGGUUCUGAAGCUCUAGGCUCCAGCCUUGCAAACACAGUCACUUCUCUCCAGACGACCAGUUUCAAUUAGGACAGCAAAGCUUGGGCUGCUCACUUGAAAGCAACGAAGCUGGUAACAGCUUAUUUCCAUGGACAGACACAGUCCUACAAACAAACAGUGCUGUUUCUCACUGUAUCCAGCAUGCCAGCCCAGAUUCACCUCAUGCUGGCUUAGCCAUCUCCCUGCAGCUCCAGUGGCAGGAGCCUGGCUGCCCUAGGCUCCCUCUGCAGUCAGUGAGAAGAGACAAGCAUCUUGAGCAGUGAUUCAUGGACCACACCAAAGAUCUGAAUCACUCCCAUGGAGUGGCUCUCUUGCUCCACUGAUUACAGAGGCAGCCAAGGGUAAAUUGGUUCAUGAUGUAGGUGGUCAGCCACGUGGAAUGUAUCCAAACCUGUUCUACUUAGGCAGGAGCUGCAUUAUCACAGUUCUUGAAUGCAGACAGUUUCUUCUUCCAAUAUUGUUUAUAACUGUGUCACAUGAAUCUGGCCUUUCCUAAAAGCAUUCUUUUUUAGCAAAAUGUGUAGCCAAAUAAGUCACAGCCCUAUUGCCCUGAACUGGCUUCACUGUUAGGUAAAUACCCAUCACUAUAGUUCCAAAAAACCUGAAAUCAGAAUGCUCACUCAGUGUAGACUGCAUUUGCAUUGGGUGUCAGGGGUGCAUUUCACUCCAGAUAGAAAUAAAUUGUACUUUGCUUUAGAAAUUCUUUUUAGCUCAAGGGGAUUUCUGCUGCUGUAUAUCCAUACACAAAAAAAGCACAACAGCUGCAAAAAGUCUGAACUGCAAAUUGCACAACUGAAGCUGCAACCCUCUUUGAGUUCAGAGGAUUUGUACUCGAGUGGGUAGAUAUGGUUUGGGUUGCUGGAAUAGCAACCAAAUAGCAGCUAAAUAUGGGAAACAAUGAUGGUCUGGACAGAGGUAUGAUUCCCAUUAAAAUAAAUAAUGGCAGUUCAUCUGGUCUCUCAAAA